GCUCCAAUAGUUUAAAUAAAAUAAUGGUCUUGUAAACCGUAGUUGAAUCACUAUUCUUGAAGCU
This 64-nucleotide transfer RNA is filed under the name Palaemon annandalei. Its description in RNAcentral is "tRNA-Thr". It matches the Rfam family "tRNA". From Rfam's summary of the family: Transfer RNA (tRNA) molecules are approximately 80 nucleotides in length. The record is from RNAcentral. Lineage: Eukaryota; Metazoa; Arthropoda; Malacostraca; Decapoda; Palaemonidae.